Molecule: long non-coding RNA, 252 nt
Organism: Rosa chinensis
Lineage: Eukaryota; Viridiplantae; Streptophyta; Magnoliopsida; Rosales; Rosaceae
Exons: 3
Source: RefSeq, a predicted model, not a curated record
GUUGUUUGGCAGGGUGAUGCUGAUGGGUAUGAUUUAGUUGUUGUUGAUGCCAUGCAUAAAGCAACCUAUGCAAGUAGAAUUUGUCACUCGUGCCGACCUAAUUGUGAAGCAAAAGUUACUGCUGUAGAUGAUCGUUACCAGAUUGGAAUCUACACUGUACGUAAGAUUCAAUACGGUGAAGAGAUCACAUUGGACUACAACUCUAUUAAGGAGAGUAAGGAAGAAUAUGAAGCAUUAGAUUGUUUGUGCGGC